UUCGAUUCUGGCUCAGAACGAACGCUGGCGGCAGGCUUAACACAUGCAAGUUGAACGGGAUUUGCUAAGUGCUUGCACGGAGCAAUGAGAGUAGCGCACUGGUGAGUAACACGUGGGAACAUGCCUUUUGGUGGGGGACAACAGAGGGAAACUUCUGCUAAUACCGCAUAAGCCCUAAGGGGGAAAGAUUAAUUGCCGAAAGAUUGGCCCGCGGAAGAUUAGGUAGUUGGUGGGGUAAAGGCCUACCAAGCCGACGAUCUAUAGCUGGUCUGAGAGGACGAACAGCCACAUUGGAACUGAGACACGGUCCAGACUCCUACGGGAGGCAGCAGUGAGGAAUAUUGGGCAAUGGAGGAAACUCUGACCCAGCCAUGCCGCGUGAGUGAAGAAGGUUUUCGAAUUGUAAAGCUCUUUCGGAUACGAGGAUGAUGACGGUAGUAUCUAAAGAAGCCCCGGCAAACUUCGUGCCAGCCGCGGC
This 478-nucleotide ribosomal RNA is filed under the name uncultured bacterium. RNAcentral's name for it is "bacterial SSU rRNA". It matches the Rfam family "Bacterial small subunit ribosomal RNA", at positions 12 to 518 of the family's 1533-position model. The record is from RNAcentral.